Molecule: unclassified non-coding RNA, 939 nt
Filed under: Homarus americanus (American lobster)
Lineage: Eukaryota; Metazoa; Arthropoda; Malacostraca; Decapoda; Nephropidae
Description: nADH-ubiquinone oxidoreductase chain 1
Source: RNAcentral
AUGGCUUUAGUUAUAUUUGUGAGUUAUUUAAUUUUAAUUAUUUGUGUUCUUGUGGGUGUUGCAUUUGUUACUUUGUUAGAACGUAAAAUUUUAGGAUAUAUUCAAAUUCGUAAAGGACCAAAUAAAGUUGGUUUUAUUGGAUUGCUACAACCCUUUGCGGAUGCUGUGAAGUUAUUUACUAAAGAGCAGACAGUACCUGUAAAAUCUAAUUUUCUUCCAUAUUAUGCUUCACCUGUUUUUAGUUUGUUUACUGCAUUAAUUGUAUGGUUAGUAAUUCCUUAUGAAAUUGGAAUAAUAAAUUUAAAUAUAGGAGUACUUUUUUUCUUGUGUUGUUUAGGAUUAGGUGUUUAUUCAACUAUAAGAGCUGGUUGGGCUUCUAAUUGUAAAUAUUCUUUGUUAGGUAGGCUUCGGGCUGUUGCUCAGACUAUUUCUUAUGAAGUUAGUCUUGCUUUAAUUUUGCUUUCUUUUAUUUUUUUAGUGGGAGGUUUUAGUUUAGAACUUUUUAAUUUAUACCAAGAAAGUGUAUGAUUUUUGUGGGUCACGUUGCCGUUAGCUUUAAUUUGGUUUGCUUCUUGUUUAGCUGAGACAAACCGAACUCCUUUCGAUUUUGCGGAAGGCGAAUCUGAGUUAGUGUCUGGGUUUAAUACCGAGUACAGAAGAGGUGGUUUUGCUUUAAUUUUUAUGGCUGAGUAUGCUAGAAUUUUGUUUAUAAGAGCGCUGUUUGCAUUAUUAUUUUUAGGUGGAGGUCCUUCUAGCCCCCUUUUUUAUGCAAAGCUGGUAGGAGUAAGAUUUGCAUUUAUUUGAGUUCGAGGAACUCUUCCUCGUCUUCGUUACGAUAAAUUAAUAGGGUUAGCUUGAAAAAGAUUUUUACCAGUUUCUCUUAAUUAUUUAAUUUUUUUCAUGGGUAUAAAAAUACUAUGUUAUUGUUCUAUAAUUUAG